RNAcentral lists this unclassified non-coding RNA (352 nucleotides) under soil metagenome. RNAcentral describes it as "partial contains 5.8S ribosomal RNA, internal transcribed spacer 2, and large subunit ribosomal RNA". The stretch from base 1 to 122 matches the Rfam family "5.8S ribosomal RNA", at positions 35 to 154 of the family's 154-position model. The record is from RNAcentral.
GAUGAAGAACGUAGCGAAAUGCGAUACGUAAUGUGAAUUGCAGAUCUCUCAGUGAAUCAUCGAAUCUUUGAACGCACAUUGCGCCCCCUGGUAUUACGGCGGGCAUGCUUAUUCGAGCGUCAUUUCUAUCCUCAAGCUCUGCUUGGUAUUGGGCGGCAAGCUCCCUUCUCCCAGGAGGGGGGCUCCCCCGAAAAUUAGCGGCGGAUCGGUCGGGGUCCCAGCGCAGUGACCUUUAUUCUCGCUGAUUGGAUCCCCGGGCGGCUCCUGCCGGGCAAAACAUCAUUUUCUUAGCGAUUGACCUCGGAUUAAGUAGGGAUACCCGCUGAACUUAAGCAUAUCAAUAAGCGGAGGA